AGCAAACAACUCUUGAUUUUGACUCAGGUCAUGAUUCCAGGGUCAUGGGAUAGAGCCUCAGUCAGGCUCUGCACUAAGCAUGAAGCCUGCUUAAAAUUCAUUCUCUCUCUCUCUCUCUCUCUCUCUCUCUCUUUCCCUCUUCCCCUUACCCCCUUGUGAACACGUACUCUCUUUCUCUAACAAUAAAAGUUAUAUACAAACUAACAAUCUAAUCUUAGUUUCCCCUGAAUUUGCUCUUCUUCAUUUGCAGUUCACUGAAUUUAUGGUUCUAAACUGAUCCAGUGUGUGCAGACAAUUCAACUUAUGGGAGCUCCAGCUUUCCCUCUCUGAGUUGUGUCUGGGCCCCUCCUUUGUGUCCCUGAAAGGAAGAGGCUGCCAGGACUCAGUGGCAUCUGUGUGCUUGAAGGAAUUUGUCUGAGAUGACCUUAAGGCUCCAUCAUAACAUGGAUUUCCAAGACCACGUCAGCAUAGAUGCCUGUUUACAAAGGUAUUCAAACAAUGCAAGAGCUAUGGACUCUCAGAGUAUACCACUGAAGGGGAGACUGCUUAAUAAGAAGACGAAGAGGAUGGGAAAAUGGUGCCUCUAAGAUUCCCGUUAGUAAUGCAUCUGUCGGUAACCCUUCCCCACAACAUCCCUGAUCCGCCAGUAGCUGUUCCUCCUUAUGGCCCUUCCCGGAUACUUCACUUCUUAUACAUUGGGAAAUGAUUUCAAAGUGAGAGCUAUAUAAGUAAACAUUUCCCCCACUUCCUGUCAUGCUCUUAACUAGAUGCAGCAUAGAGAUUAGAACAUGAGAACAAACUGAGGGCUGAUGGGGGGUGGGAGGGGGGGAGGGUGGGUGAUGGGUAUUGAGGAGGGCACCUGUUGGGAUGAGCACUGGGUGUUGUAUGGAAACCAAUUUGACAAUAAAUUUCAUAUAUUUAAAAAAAUAAAUAAAAUA
Molecule: long non-coding RNA, 938 nt
Filed under: Felis catus (domestic cat)
Lineage: Eukaryota; Metazoa; Chordata; Mammalia; Carnivora; Felidae
Description: lncRNA (ENSFCAG00000047236.1)
Source: RNAcentral